UACAGAGGAGCCAAGCGUUGUCCGGAUUGACUGGGCGUAAAGCGCACGCAGGCGGUUGCGCGCGUAGGGUGUGAAAUCUGGCCGCUUAACGGCCAGGCGCCAUCCCAUACGGCGCGACUGGAGUGAUGCAGAGGUCGAUGGAAUUGCCGGUGUAGUGGUGAAAUGCGUAGAGAUCGGGAGGAACACCAGUGGCGAAGGCGGCCGGCUGGGGGUGACCUGACGCUGAGGCGCGAAAGCGUGGGGAGCGAACCGG
This 253-nucleotide ribosomal RNA is filed under the name uncultured bacterium. RNAcentral's name for it is "partial 16S ribosomal RNA". It matches the Rfam family "Bacterial small subunit ribosomal RNA", at positions 524 to 776 of the family's 1533-position model. The record is from RNAcentral.